Molecule: ribosomal RNA, 738 nt
Filed under: uncultured bacterium
Lineage: Bacteria
Description: bacterial SSU rRNA
Rfam family: Bacterial small subunit ribosomal RNA
Source: RNAcentral
ACUACCAUGCAGUCGAGCGAUGAACUUCUUCGGAAGUGGAUUAGCGGCGGACGGGUGAGUAACACGUGGGCAACCUGCCUCAUAGAGAGGGAUAGCCUUUCGAAAGGAAGAUUAAUACCUCAUAAGAUUGUAGCUUCGCAUGAAGUAGCAAUAAAAGGAGCAAUCCGCUAUGAGAUGGGCCCGCGUCGCAUUAGCUAGUUGGUAAGGUAAUGGCUUACCAAGGCGACGAUGCGUAGCCGACCUGAGAGGGUGAUCGGCCACAUUGGGACUGAGACACGGCCCAGACUCCUACGGGAGGCAGCAGUGGGGAAUAUUGCACAAUGGGGGAAACCCUGAUGCAGCAACGCCGCGUGAGUGAUGAAGGUCUUCGGAUUGUAAAACUCUGUCUUUGGGGACGAUAAUGACGGUACCCAAGGAGGAAGCCACGGCUAACUACGUGCCAGCAGCCGCGGUAAUACGUAGGUGGCAAGCGUUGUCCGGAUUUACUGGUCGUAAAGGGAGCGUAGGUGGAUAUUUAAGUGGGAUGUGAAAUACUCGGGCUUAACCUGAGUGCUGCAUUCCAAACUGGAUAUCUAGAGUGCAGGAGAGGAAAGUGGAAUUCCUAGUGUAGCGGUGAAAUGCGUAGAUAUUAGGAAGAACACCAGUGGCGAAGGCGACUUUCUGGACUGUAACUGACACUGAGGCUCGAAAGCGUGGGGAGCGAACAGGAUUAGAUACCCUGGUAGUCCACGCCGUAAA